This 253-nucleotide ribosomal RNA is filed under the name uncultured bacterium. Its description in RNAcentral is "partial 16S ribosomal RNA". It matches the Rfam family "Bacterial small subunit ribosomal RNA", at positions 524 to 776 of the family's 1533-position model. The record is from RNAcentral.
GACGUAGGGCGCGAGCGUUGUCCGGAAUCAUUGGGCGUAAAGAGCGUGUAGGCGGCCCGAUAAGUCCGCUGUGAAAGUCCAGGGCUCAACCCUGGGAUGCCGGUGGAUACUGUCGGGCUCGAGUCCGGAAGAGGAGUGUGGAAUUCCUGGUGUAGCGGUGAAAUGCGCAGGUAUCAGGAGGAACACCAAUAGCGAAGGCAGCUCGCUGGGACGGUACUGACGCUAAGGCGCGAAAGCGUGGGGAGCGAACAGG